GGGUUGUGAGGUUAAGCGACUAAGCGUACACGGUGGAUGCCCUGGCAGUCAGAGGCGAUGAAGGACGUGCUAAUCUGCGAUAAGCGUCGGUAAGGUGAUAUGAACCGUUAUAACCGGCGAUUUCCGAAUGGGGAAACCCAGUGUGAUUCGUCACACUAUCAUUAACUGAAUCCAUAGGUUAAUGAGGCGAACCGGGGGAACUGAAACAUCUAAGUACCCCGAGGAAAAGAAAUCAACCGAGAUUCCCCCAGUAGCGGCGAGCGAACGGGGAGGAGCCCAGAGCCUGAAUCAGUGUGUGUGUUAGUGGAAGCGUCUGGAAAGGCGCGCGAUACAGGGUGACAGCCCCGUACACAAAAAUGCACAUGCUGUGAGCUCGAUGAGUAGGGCGGGACACGUGGUAUCCUGUCUGAAUAUGGGGGGACCAUCCUCCAAGGCUAAAUACUCCUGACUGACCGAUAGUGAACCAGUACCGUGAGGGAAAGGCGAAAAGAACCCCGGCGAGGGGAGUGAAAAAGAACCUGAAACCGUGUACGUACAAGCAGUGGGAGCACAGAGCAAUCUGUGUGACUGCGUACCUUUUGUAUAAUGGGUCAGCGACUUAUAUUCUGUAGCAAGGUUAACCGAAUAGGGGAGCCGAAGGGAAACCGAGUCUUAACUGGGCGUUAAGUUGCAGGGUAUAGACCCGAAACCCGGUGAUCUAGCCAUGGGCAGGUUGAAGGUUGGGUAACACUAACUGGAGGACCGAACCGACUAAUGUUGAAAAAUUAGCGGAUGACUUGUGGCUGGGGGUGAAAGGCCAAUCAAACCGGGAGAUAGCUGGUUCUCCCCGAAAGCUAUUUAGGUAGCGCCUCGUGAAUUCAUCUCCGGGGGUAGAGCACUGUUUCGGCAAGGGGGUCAUCCCGACUUACCAACCCGAUGCAAACUGCGAAUACCGGAGAAUGUUAUCACGGGAGACACACGGCGGGUGCUAACGUCCGUCGUGAAGAGGGAAACAACCCAGACCGCCAGCUAAGGUCCCAAAGUCAUGGUUAAGUGGGAAACGAUGUGGGAAGGCCCAGACAGCCAGGAUGUUGGCUUAGAAGCAGCCAUCAUUUAAAGAAAGCGUAAUAGCUCACUGGUCGAGUCGGCCUGCGCGGAAGAUGUAACGGGGCUAAACCAUGCACCGAAGCUGCGGCAGCGACGCUUAUGCGUUGUUGGGUAGGGGAGCGUUCUGUAAGCCUGUGAAGGUGUACUGUGAGGUACGCUGGAGGUAUCAGAAGUGCGAAUGCUGACAUAAGUAACGAUAAAGCGGGUGAAAAGCCCGCUCGCCGGAAGACCAAGGGUUCCUGUCCAACGUUAAUCGGGGCAGGGUGAGUCGACCCCUAAGGCGAGGCCGAAAGGCGUAGUCGAUGGGAAACAGGUUAAUAUUCCUGUACUUGGUGUUACUGCGAAGGGGGGACGGAGAAGGCUAUGUUGGCCGGGCGACGGUUGUCCCGGUUUAAGCGUGUAGGCUGGUUUUCCAGGCAAAUCCGGAAAAUCAAGGCUGAGGCGUGAUGACGAGGCACUACGGUGCUGAAGCAACAAAUGCCCUGCUUCCAGGAAAAGCCUCUAAGCAUCAGGUAACAUCAAAUCGUACCCCAAACCGACACAGGUGGUCAGGUAGAGAAUACCAAGGCGCUUGAGAGAACUCGGGUGAAGGAACUAGGCAAAAUGGUGCCGUAACUUCGGGAGAAGGCACGCUGAUAUGUAGGUGAAGCGACUUGCUCGUGGAGCUGAAAUCAGUCGAAGAUACCAGCUGGCUGCAACUGUUUAUUAAAAACACAGCACUGUGCAAACACGAAAGUGGACGUAUACGGUGUGACGCCUGCCCGGUGCCGGAAGGUUAAUUGAUGGGGUCAGCGCAAGCGAAGCUCUUGAUCGAAGCCCCGGUAAACGGCGGCCGUAACUAUAACGGUCCUAAGGUAGCGAAAUUCCUUGUCGGGUAAGUUCCGACCUGCACGAAUGGCGUAAUGAUGGCCAGGCUGUCUCCACCCGAGACUCAGUGAAAUUGAACUCGCUGUGAAGAUGCAGUGUACCCGCGGCAAGACGGAAAGACCCCGUGAACCUUUACUAUAGCUUGACACUGAACAUUGAGCCUUGAUGUGUAGGAUAGGUGGGAGGCUUAGAAGUGUGGACGCCAGUCUGCAUGGAGCCGACCUUGAAAUACCACCCUUUAAUGUUUGAUGUUCUAACGUUGACCCGUGAUCCGGGUUGCGGACAGUGUCUGGUGGGUAGUUUGACUGGGGCGGUCUCCUCCUAAAGAGUAACGGAGGAGCACGAAGGUUGGCUAAUCCUGGUCGGACAUCAGGAGGUUAGUGCAAUGGCAUAAGCCAGCUUGACUGCGAGCGUGACGGCGCGAGCAGGUGCGAAAGCAGGUCAUAGUGAUCCGGUGGUUCUGAAUGGAAGGGCCAUCGCUCAACGGAUAAAAGGUACUCCGGGGAUAACAGGCUGAUACCGCCCAAGAGUUCAUAUCGACGGCGGUGUUUGGCACCUCGAUGUCGGCUCAUCACAUCCUGGGGCUGAAGUAGGUCCCAAGGGUAUGGCUGUUCGCCAUUUAAAGUGGUACGCGAGCUGGGUUUAGAACGUCGUGAGACAGUUCGGUCCCUAUCUGCCGUGGGCGCUGGAGAACUGAGGGGGGCUGCUCCUAGUACGAGAGGACCGGAGUGGACGCAUCACUGGUGUUCGGGUUGUCAUGCCAAUGGCACUGCCCGGUAGCUAAAUGCGGAAGAGAUAAGUGCUGAAAGCAUCUAAGCACGAAACUUGCCCCGAGAUGAGUUCUCCCUGACUCCUUGAGAGUCCUGAAGGAACGUUGAAGACGACGACGUUGAUAGGCCGGGUGUGUAAGCGCAGCGAUGCGUUGAGCUAACCGGUACUAAUGAACCGUGAGGCUUAACCUUACAACGCCGAAG
This 2927-nucleotide ribosomal RNA is filed under the name Escherichia coli. RNAcentral's name for it is "23S ribosomal RNA". It matches the Rfam family "Bacterial large subunit ribosomal RNA". The record is from RNAcentral. Lineage: Bacteria; Pseudomonadati; Pseudomonadota; Gammaproteobacteria; Enterobacterales; Enterobacteriaceae.